CCUACGGGAGGCAGCAGUGGGGAAUAUUGGUCAAUGGGCGCAAGCCUGAACCAGCGACGCCGCGUGCGGGAUGAAGGGGCUUUGCCUCGUAAACCGCUGUCGGAUGGGACGAAAGGUGGCUUUAAGCCACUGGGACGGUACCAUCAAAGGAAGGAUCGGCUAACUACGUGCCAGCAGCCGCGGUAAUACGUAGGAUCCGAGCGUUGUCCGGAGUUACUGGGUGUAAAGGGUGCGUAGGCUGUUCUGUGCGUCAGAGGUGAAAUCCACGGGCUUAACUCGUGGGGUGCCUUUGAUACGGCAGGGCUUGAGUACGAGAGAGGUGCGUGGAAUUCCUGGUGUAGCAGUGAAAUGCGUAGAUAUCAGGAGGAACACCGGUGGCGAAGGCGGCGCACUGGCUCGUAACUGACGCUGAGGCACGAAAGCGUGGGGAUCAAACAGGAUUAGAUACCCUGGUAGUCCACGCCUUAAACGAUGCAUGCUUGGUGUUGGUCUCGCAAGAGAUCAGUGCCGUAGUUAACAUGAUAAGCAUGCCACCUGGGGAGUACGAUCGCAAGGUUGAAACUCAAAGGAAUUGACGG
RNAcentral lists this ribosomal RNA (578 nucleotides) under uncultured bacterium. Its description in RNAcentral is "bacterial SSU rRNA". It matches the Rfam family "Bacterial small subunit ribosomal RNA", at positions 338 to 916 of the family's 1533-position model. The record is from RNAcentral.